Molecule: small RNA, 1125 nt
Filed under: Pan troglodytes (chimpanzee)
Lineage: Eukaryota; Metazoa; Chordata; Mammalia; Primates; Hominidae
Description: retained intron
Source: RNAcentral
AGUAGGGGAGAGGCAGGUGGGAGGGCCGCAUCUUCCUCCCUGUCCUGUGACUCCCAGCUAGGAGGGCUCUCAGGAUACGUGGGAUGGGUGGCUGGGGCCUGAGGCCUAGGCAAGGCAGUGACCUGCCCACUGCCCCACGGAGGGGCCCAAUCAACCUCCUCUCCUCUGCCCAUUCCCCCCCUCCCCCGGGGCCAGAGCUUCACAGCCCCACAGAGUGGCAGGGGGCCCUCAGUGUGGGGAAGGCGUCACCUAUGCCAGACUGGGUUGAAACUGCUGGGCGACUCCGGCCCUAUGCCUCGACCCUGCAGAAAGCCGUCGGGUCAAACUCCAAGGCAUUCUGGCUGACCUGCGGGAUGUGGAUGGGCUGCCCCCAAAAGUGACUGGCCCGCCUCCUGGCACACCCCAGCCCCGGCCACAUGAAGACGUCUUCAUCAUGGACACUAUCGGGGGCGGGGAGGUGAGCCUGGGGGACUUGGCAGAUCUCACCGUCACCAAUGACAACGACCUCAGCUGCGAUCUGUCUGACAGCAAAGAUGCUUUUAAGAAGACGUGGAACCCCAAGUUCACCCUGCGCUCGCACUACGACGGCAUUCGUUCCCUGGCCUUCCACCACAGCCAGUCGGCUCUGCUCACCGCCUCCGAGGAUGGCACGCUCAAGCUCUGGAACCUGCAGAAGGCGGUCACGGCCAAGAAGAAUGCGGCGCUAGAUGUGGAACCUAUACAUGCUUUCCGGGCUCACAGGGGCCCAGUGUUGGCUGUGGCUAUGGGCAGCAACAGUGAAUACUGCUACAGUGGCGGGGCGGAUGCCUGCAUCCAUAGUUGGAAGAUUCCAGACCUCAGCAUGGAUCCCUAUGAUGGCUACGACCCAAGCGUGCUGAGCCACGUCCUGGAGGGCCACGGGGACGCCGUGUGGGGCCUGGCCUUCAGUCCCACCUCCCAGCGCCUGGCCUCCUGCUCUGCUGAUGGCACCGUCCGCAUCUGGGACCCCAGCAGCAGCAGCCCGGCCUGCCUCUGCACCUUCCCCACAGCCAGCGAGCACGGGAUCCCCACCUCAGUGGCCUUCACCAGCACCGAGCCUGCCCACAUCGUGGCCUCCUUCCGCUCUGGCGACACCGUCUUGUAUGA